Molecule: non-coding RNA, 81 nt
Organism: Musa acuminata subsp. malaccensis (wild Malaysian banana)
Lineage: Eukaryota; Viridiplantae; Streptophyta; Magnoliopsida; Zingiberales; Musaceae
Source: Rfam
GGAUCAAGUGAUGAGAAAACUGCAACAAUUUGAUGGAGAUACCUCUCCAUGAUUCCUCGUAUUUGAGUUUCCGAUGGUACC